This 71-nucleotide transfer RNA is filed under the name Ictidomys tridecemlineatus (thirteen-lined ground squirrel). RNAcentral's name for it is "Spermophilus tridecemlineatus (thirteen-lined ground squirrel) tRNA". It matches the Rfam family "tRNA". Rfam says of the family: Transfer RNA (tRNA) molecules are approximately 80 nucleotides in length. Their secondary structure includes four short double-helical elements and three loops (D, anti-codon, and T loops). Further hydrogen bonds mediate the characteristic L-shaped molecular structure. tRNAs have two regions of fundamental functional importance: the anti-codon, which is responsible for specific mRNA codon recognition, and the 3' end, to which the tRNAs corresponding amino acid is attached (by aminoacyl-tRNA synthetases). tRNAs cope with the degeneracy of the genetic code in two manners: having more than one tRNA (with a specific anti-codon) for a particular amino acid; and 'wobble' base-pairing, i.e. permitting non-standard base-pairing at the 3rd anti-codon position. The record is from Rfam by way of RNAcentral. Lineage: Eukaryota; Metazoa; Chordata; Mammalia; Rodentia; Sciuridae.
GUGGUUGUGGCUCAGUGGUGGAGCACUUGCCUUGCAUGCAUCAGGCACAGAGUUAGAUCCUCAGCACCACA